CAGUAGCCGCGGUAAUACGUAGGGUGCGAGCGUUAAUCGGAAUUACUGGGCGUAGAGCGUGCGCAGGCGGUUCGUUAAGACAGAUGUGAAAUCCCCGGGCUUAACCUGGGAACUGCAUUUGUGACUGGCGAGCUAGAGUAUGGCAGAGGGGGGUAGAAUUCCACGUGUUGCAGUGAAAUGCGUAGAGAUGUGGAGGAAUACCGAUGGCGAAGGCAGCCCCCUGGGCCAAUACUGACGCUCAUGCACGAAAGCGUGGGGAGCAAACAGGAUUAGAUACCCCCGUAGUCCCUGUCUCUUAUAC
This 301-nucleotide ribosomal RNA is filed under the name uncultured bacterium. Its description in RNAcentral is "partial 16S ribosomal RNA". It matches the Rfam family "Bacterial small subunit ribosomal RNA", at positions 509 to 807 of the family's 1533-position model. The record is from RNAcentral.